UGAAACUCAAAGGAAUUGACGGGGGCCCGCACCAGCGGUGGAGCAUGUGGUUUAAUUCGAAGCAACGCGAAGAACCUUACCAGGUCUUGACAUCCUCUGACAACUCUAGAGAUAGAGCGUUCCCCUUCGGGGGACAGAGUGACAGGUGGUGCAUGGUCGUCGUCAGCUCGUGUCGUGAGAUGUUGGGUUAAGUCCCGCAACGAGCGCAACCCUUGAUCUUAGUUGCCAGCAUUUAGUUGGGCACUCUAAGGUGACCGCCGGUGACAAACCGGAGGAAGGUGGGGAUGACGUCAAAUCAUCAUGCCCCUUAUGACCUGGGCUACACACGUGCUACAAUGGAUGGUACAAAGGGCUGCAAGACCGCGAGGUCAAGCCAAUCCCAUAAAACCAUUCUCAGUUCGGAUUGUAGGCUGCAACUCGCCUACAUGAAGCGGAAUCGCUAGUAAUCGCGGAUCAGCAUGCCGCGGUGAAUACGUUCC
RNAcentral lists this ribosomal RNA (479 nucleotides) under Bacillus sp. JAMSTEC9. RNAcentral's name for it is "bacterial SSU rRNA". It matches the Rfam family "Bacterial small subunit ribosomal RNA", at positions 895 to 1374 of the family's 1533-position model. Lineage: Bacteria; Bacillati; Bacillota; Bacilli; Caryophanales; Bacillaceae. The record is from RNAcentral.